GGGAGGCAGCAGUAAGGAAUAUUGGUCAAUGGGCGCAAGCCUGAACCAGCCAUGCCGCGUACAGGAAGACGGCCCUACGGGUUGUAAACUGCUUUUGUACCGGAAUAAACCUUUUCACGUGUGAGAAGCUGAAUGUACGGUAAGAAUAAGGAUCGGCUAACUCCGUGCCAGCAGCCGCGGUAAUACGGAGGAUCCAAGCGUUAUCCGGAUUUAUUGGGUUUAAAGGGUGCGUAGGCGGUUCUUUAAGUCAGGGGUGAAAGACGGUAGCUUAACUAUCGCAGUGCCUUUGAUACUGAAGAACUUGAAUACACUUGAGGUAGGCGGAAUGUGACAAGUAGCGGUGAAAUGCAUAGAUAUGUCACAGAACACCAAUUGCGAAGGCAGCUUACUAAAGUGUCAUUGACGCUGAGGCACGAAAGCGUGGGAUCAAACAGGAUUAGAUACCCUGGUAGUCCACGCCCUAAACGAUGAAUACUCGAUGUUGGCGAUAUACGGUCAGCGUCUAAGCGAAAGCGUUAAGUAUUCCACCUGGGGAGUACGCCCGCAAGGGUGAACUCAAAGGAAUUGACGGGGGCCCGCACAAGCGGAGGAGCAUGUGGUUUAAUUCGAUGAUACGCGAGGAACCUUACCCGGGCUUGAAAGUUAGUGAAUGAUUCAGAGACGAAUCAGUCCUUCGGGACACGAAACUAGGUGCUGCAUGGCUGUCGUCAGCUCGUGCCGUGAGGUGUUGGGUUAAGUCCCGCAACGAGCGCAACCCCUAUGUUUAGUUGCCAGCAUGUAAUGAUGGGGACUCUAAACAGACUGCCUAUGCAAAUA
This 816-nucleotide ribosomal RNA is filed under the name Mucilaginibacter rigui. RNAcentral describes it as "bacterial SSU rRNA". It matches the Rfam family "Bacterial small subunit ribosomal RNA", at positions 343 to 1164 of the family's 1533-position model. The record is from RNAcentral. Lineage: Bacteria; Pseudomonadati; Bacteroidota; Sphingobacteriia; Sphingobacteriales; Sphingobacteriaceae.